RNAcentral lists this ribosomal RNA (253 nucleotides) under uncultured bacterium. Its description in RNAcentral is "partial 16S ribosomal RNA". It matches the Rfam family "Bacterial small subunit ribosomal RNA", at positions 524 to 776 of the family's 1533-position model. The record is from RNAcentral.
UACGUAGGGGGCAAGCGUUGUCCGGAAUUAUUGGGCGUAAAGAGCGCGUAGGCGGUCCGAUAAGUCGGCUGUGAAAGUCCAGGGCUCAACCCUGGAAAGCCGGCCGAUACUGUCGGACUAGAGUCCGGAAGAGGCAAGUGGAAUUCCCGGUGUAGCGGUGAAAUGCGCAGAUAUCGGGAGGAACACCGGUGGCGAAGGCGGUUCUCUGGGCCUUACCUGACGCUGAGGAGCGAAAGCGUGGGGAGCGAACAGG